This 280-nucleotide unclassified non-coding RNA is filed under the name Syzygium travancoricum. RNAcentral describes it as "partial external transcribed spacer". The record is from RNAcentral. Lineage: Eukaryota; Viridiplantae; Streptophyta; Magnoliopsida; Myrtales; Myrtaceae.
UACCUAUUGCGAUGGAAAGUUGUACCUUUCGUUGUCCCUUCCAUGACAACAUCUCUUUGGAUGCUUGGUUGGACUAGAUAGCAGGGCUUGCGUUCCACGAAAUUGUUCGGAUGGACCGCGAGCGCUUGCUUGUUUUCUCGGAUGCGGAACUUUCUUCAUGGGUAAGGGGUCAUUGGCCCUUGUUCCCAAAUCUCUAAGCGUUUAUCGCUUUACUGGAAUGACGCUCUUGCCUCGUCUUUGACCAUGUGGAGUUCUCGGGCUUCAUGAUGGAUCAUGCUUG